Molecule: unclassified non-coding RNA, 565 nt
Filed under: Sedum obcordatum
Lineage: Eukaryota; Viridiplantae; Streptophyta; Magnoliopsida; Saxifragales; Crassulaceae
Description: partial contains external transcribed spacer and 18S ribosomal RNA
Rfam family: Eukaryotic small subunit ribosomal RNA (bases 514-565)
Source: RNAcentral
GGCGGCCUUUUAGCCACUGUGUCGUUCGAUUUGAUUUCAAUUUGUCCCGUGUGUUAAAAAAGGUCAAAUCGACGGUAGUUUGGUUAGAUCGACGCGUUGACGUGUGAGUGGCUAUAUUAAUGUUUGUGUCGGCUGGCUCCCUGCUUGCGCAGCGAACUGUCGGCGCAUCCAUAUUUCAGUCGAGUCGGAGACGUACAUGUCGGAUUUUUGUGUUGCCAACCCAAUUGAUGGAAUUCUUUUGACCCAGAUGCGUAACCUCGCCUAACGCCCCGUGAGGCGGUAGGUGGACGAUGAAGCUGCCCCUUUCUACUCCAUGCGCUCCCUUUUCGGGCCCCAUGGAAAAUUGGUGGUAUUGCUUGUUGCCUCGGAUGCAGAGCACGAAGCGAGCAUGAUGCCUGCCAUCAUCGCUCUUUCAGAGCUCCCGAUUGCUCGGAAAGAGGGACCGCCGCGCUUGGUUUUGGCCGUCGACUCGUCGAUCCAGCCCGAAACCUUGCCGACGUCUUCAAUGAAUGCUACCUGGUUGAUCCUGCCAGUAGUCAUAUGCUUGUCUCAAAGAUUAAGCCAU